This 253-nucleotide ribosomal RNA is filed under the name uncultured bacterium. RNAcentral describes it as "partial 16S ribosomal RNA". It matches the Rfam family "Bacterial small subunit ribosomal RNA", at positions 524 to 776 of the family's 1533-position model. The record is from RNAcentral.
UACGAAGGGGGCUAGCGUUGUUCGGAAUUACUGGGCGUAAAGCGCGUGUAGGCGGCCCUGCAAGUCGGAUGUGAAAUCCCACGGCUCAACCGUGGAAGUGCAUUCGAAACUGCAGGGCUAGAGUCCUGGAAAGGAAGGUGGAAUGCUUGGUGUAGAGGUGAAAUUCGUAGAUAUCAAGCGGAACACCGGUGGCGAAGGCGGCCUUCUGGACAGUGACUGACGCUGAGACGCGAAAGCGUGGGGAGCAAACGGG